This 849-nucleotide ribosomal RNA is filed under the name uncultured bacterium. Its description in RNAcentral is "bacterial SSU rRNA". It matches the Rfam family "Bacterial small subunit ribosomal RNA", at positions 8 to 852 of the family's 1533-position model. The record is from RNAcentral.
AGAGUUUGAUCCUGGCUCAGGAUGAACGCUGGCGGCGUGCUUAACACAUGCAAGUCGAACGGGAAUGUUUCGCUGAUGCGAUUUCGGUCAAAUCUUGAAGCAUUUUAGUGGCGGACGGGUGAGUAACGCGUGGGUAACCUGCCCUGUACAGGGGGACAACAGUUGGAAACGACUGCUAAUACCGCAUAAGCGCACAGCUUCGCAUGAAGCGGUGUGAAAAACUCCGGUGGUACAGGAUGGACCCGCGUCUGAUUAGAUAGUUGGUGAGGUAACGGCCCACCAAGUCAACGAUCAGUAGCCGGCCUGAGAGGGUGAACGGCCACAUUGGGACUGAGACACGGCCCAAACUCCUACGGGAGGCAGCAGUGGGGAAUAUUGCACAAUGGGGGAAACCCUGAUGCAGCGACGCCGCGUGAGUGAAGAAGUAUUUCGGUAUGUAAAGCUCUAUCAGCAGGGAAGAAAACAAUGACGGUACCUGACUAAGAAGCCCCGGCUAACUACGUGCCAGCAGCCGCGGUAAUACGUAGGGGGCAAGCGUUAUCCGGAUUUACUGGGUGUAAAGGGAGCGUAGACGGUAGACCAAGUCUGAAGUGAAAGCCCGGGGCUCAACCCCGGAACUGCUUUGGAAACUGGUAAACUAGAGUGCAGGAGAGGUAAGUGGAAUUCCUAGUGUAGCGGUGAAAUGCGUAGAUAUUAGGAGGAACACCAGUGGCGAAGGCGGCUUACUGGACUGUAACUGACGUUGAGGCUCGAAAGCGUGGGGAGCAAACAGGAUUAGAUACCCUGGUAGUCCACGCCGUAAACGAUGAUUACUAGGUGUCGGGGAGUUAAACUCUUCGGUGCCGCAGC